AUGCAUGCCAGGGCACCGGGAGACCAACAGCCAGCAAGGGCCACAGCUGCCAAAACCAGCUCAGAGCACAGGACCGAAGGCACUCCCACAGAUGGAGGGACAGGAGGACAGCCUCGGUGUCACUGCAGUGCAGUCCAGCUGCACCCAGAGGACGCCCCAGUGUCGCCGCAGAGCCCAGCUGCACCCAGAGGACGCCCCGGUGUCGCUGCAGAGCAGCCCAGCUGCACCCAGAGGAUGCCCCGGUGUCACCGCAGAGCCCAGCUGCACCCAGAGCACGCCCCGGUGUCACUGCAGAGCAGCCCAUCUGCACCCAGAGGACGCCCCGGUGUCGCCGCAGAGCCCAGCUGCACCCAGAGGACACCCCGGUGUCGCUGCAGAGCCCAGCUGCACCCAGAGGACGCCCCGGUGUCACCGCAGAGCCCAUCUGCACCCAGAGCACGCCCCGGUGUCACCGCAGAGCCCAGCUGCACCCAGAGGACGCCCCGGUGUCACCGCAGAGCCCAGCUGCACCCAGAGGACGCCCCGGUGUCACCGCAGAGCCCAGCUGCACCCAGAGGACGCCCCGGUGUCACCGCAGAGCCCAGCUGCACCCAGAGGACGCCCCGGUGUCACCGCAGAGCCACAGCUGCACCCAGAGCACGCCCCGGUGUCACCGCAGAGCCCAGCUGCACCCAGAGCACGCUCUGGUGUCACCGCAGAGCAGCCCAUCUGCACCCAGAGGACGCCCCGGUGUCGCUGCAGAGCAGCCCAUCUGCACCCAGAGCACGCCCCGGUGUCACCGCAGAGCCCAGCUGCACCCAGAAGACGCCCCGGUGUCACCGCAGAGCCCAGCUGCACCCAGAGGACGCCCCGGUGUCACCACAGAGCAGCCUGCCUGCUCCAGUCACAGGAGAAAAAGCACUUGCCCCACACUGCAGCGUCUCCCUCCCCCGCAAGGUGCCCGCCACCAUAGUGCAGGGUGGCCAUGCCCACGCGAGGAGCUGGCCGGGGACAGGUCGGGGAAAGUGCCUGAGUCCCCGCCGGAGGACUCCGACGACAGCUCUGACCCUUGCUUCGCAGCCGCGCACCUCCCGGACGGCUCACGCAUCCCAACAACGCCCCCAUCCACAGAAACCGCGGGGGAUGGCCCAGGGCAGCCCUACAGGGUUCACAGGGCAGCCCGAGAGGGGCCUGCUGGGGCACUCGGGGACAUGA
Molecule: long non-coding RNA, 1194 nt
Filed under: Oryctolagus cuniculus (rabbit)
Lineage: Eukaryota; Metazoa; Chordata; Mammalia; Lagomorpha; Leporidae
Description: lncRNA (ENSOCUG00000038343.1)
Source: RNAcentral